RNAcentral lists this long non-coding RNA (4734 nucleotides) under Coffea arabica (coffee). RNAcentral describes it as "long non-coding RNA (CARA_LNC003319)". The record is from RNAcentral. Lineage: Eukaryota; Viridiplantae; Streptophyta; Magnoliopsida; Gentianales; Rubiaceae.
GUUGCUUCGCUGCAUCCUCUCUCGCCUUCACCUUCCAUCCUCCACCUGUUCGCUUCAUCAGUUUGCAACGUUCUCUUGUGGGCAGGCGUUUCAUCCCACUUCUCUGCUUCAUCAUAACUCUCUUCUCUCCUACAGACUUCAUGUUCAUCUUUGCUGCCUUCGCCUUUAAAGGUAACUUCCUUCAAAAAAACUUACAUUUUGCACUAUUAUGAUCUAGUAAAAUAUCCACUGAAAAUUUUCUAGAAAAUUAAGUGUUGAAUAUUCCCAAAUUAGUGAAAUUAGAAAAGGAGGCUUGGUUAAAAAUGAAACGUGCUCAAUUUGGUUGAAAUCUAUAGUUCUUAAUUUUGAUAUGCCUAAUUUUAGUUCUUAAUUUCAUGUUCAUUGGUUGUUGCAAGCACUAUUCACAUACUUAUCUUGGCCUUCUUUUGGGAUAUGUUAAAAUCGUUUUGAUAAUUAUGUCCUUAUGUAAUAAAUAUUCUUUACCAUUUCUGCUUAUCAGGUAUGAUAUUUUUAGUUUUCAUAGAUUCUUGAUCAUCAAUUAGCCAUUUACAAUUAUACGUACUUCCUUUUUUUCCUUACUAGGAUUUAUAUGUUUGCUGAAUUGAUCUGGAAGAUAGUUUCUUUGUUUGUGUAUGCAAAUAAGAAAAGCCUCUUGAAACAUAUAUCUGCACGAAAAUUCGAUUUUUACACUUUCACUUCAUUUGUUUUCUUUGAUGAUUAUGGUCCUAAUGAUGAAUCUCUCGUUUAUUACAAGAGUGGUGAGUUUGGUUACUAGUUUCUAGAAUUGCAAGAGUGAUAUAUUGUUUAAGAUAUUAAUCAUAGUAAGUUCAGUUAAAAUGUCUAUAUCUAGAGUCUUUAUUUGGUUGGAGUAGAAGAAAUUGUAGAAUCUAGUUAGGUGCUCAAAAUCUGAACGUGUUCAAAUGCUCCAUGUUUAGAUUCUUCUUGUGUUGAUUGUAUUCAACAAAGCCUUUAAAGUUGUAAGACACAGAGAUGAUUUAAAUUGGUCCCAAGAAAGGUCUUUGAAUUUGUUUUCAUUAGAUAAUUUUUGUCACAUAGUUCCAAUAUGUGUAAUCACACGAGGUAUGAUUACUGUCAUUGCGGAUUGUCGAAAAAUUAUCAAGAAUGAAACAUUUGACUAAUAUAUUCAUACCCAGAAAUUCAUUUAAUUUUUGUUUUGUGUUGCUAAGGACCAUUUUAGGUAGCAAGCAAUUUUCUCGUCCACAAUUUGAGAAUACUAGUACUAAUGUUGUGGUUCAUGUGAUGUAAUUUAUCGUGCCAUGCACGAUUUAUCAAUCUAGAAAUAUUUUUAUCUUAUCUUAAAAAAACUAUUUUAGUAUACCAUUAUAGAUCUUCAUCGUAUUUUGUGUAUUCCAUAAGUUAUAGACCAGACCAAUUGUGUGUAGUGAUUAUUUGCAUUGCUUGUGUUUACUUUCUCAACCAAAACUCCAGCAGUAGCUAUGGUUAUAAAUUUGGAGCCACACAAAAAUCAUUAAUGGUUCCUCUUUAAAACCAAAAGCUGCACAUGCUCUAUUCUCCGAAAAAUUAUUUUACUGUAUUGCAGAUAUGUUAAUUCAAAUUUUUUUGGGAGAUCGGUAGUCACAACUUAACUGAAGCAAUGGAGUCAAAGCUAAUUUCUGCUCAUGUAGUUUUUCAGUAGUGGAUACAUUGAAUUCGUUUGGUAAAUCUACCUUUAACUUAGAUGUGAAAUAUGGGAUGUACACUACUUAAUAUGAUAUUCAUUUGAUUAAUAUAAUGUUAGCAUUUUCUAGAGCAAUAGUUUUUUCUCUUAUUGGCAAGCUUUGUUUUUUUUUAUUUGUUUUUGGAUACAAUUAAUUAUUUUUAGUAGGAAAGCGUCUUCAUAAAUCAAGCGAUGAUCAACCUCUCCCAUUUGCCUCCUUGUCUAGUUACCACCACUAGGAAGAAGAUGGAUUCCAUCCGCUUAAUUACUCAUGUUUCUUGCUGACUCAGGCCAUUCCCCAUCCCAAGUAAUUAUUGCUUUUGCUUUCUUUUAUUGGACUUUGAUGUGAAAACUAUGAAUUUAAUCGAUUUAUCUAUUAUUUAUUAAUAUGUUAUAGCAUUUGGAAGGCAUACUCCACUAUUGACUCCUUUGACUGCAUUAGCAAACUUGAGCUCAGGAUGCAAUCAUGGUUAGUUCGCAUAGAUUAACUUUUUUGGUUUGUUUGUUAUAUCUAUGACAAACUUGUGCACUAUAUAUUUUGCAAAAUCAAGAGUUUAAUUUGUUUUCAAUGUACGUAUGACUUUUACUGAUGACUUAGGAGAAAAGUAUUAAGGCUAAGAUAGAACACAAAUAUAAUUUAGCAAGUAUCAAAGUUGAUAAGGUUGAGACUAAACUUUUUACUUGUUCUCUAGUAUGUGUCAUCAUAAUUGGGAGUAAUUUUUUUUUGGGUAAUAAUUUCCUAUAACUUUUGUUUUUUGACUAGUAUUGUUUUAUCUUGAAUUCAGACCAACAUGUUUUCUUUGUUUGCUCUUCGAUAGUGUGGGGUGAAAUUGAGCGACAUACUAACCAAAACGCUAAAUCGAUUAGCUUUCAAAAUAUUCUUGGAAAGGAAUUAUUCAUUGCUAUUUGGGAUGAACUGCCUACUAUUUUGCUUUUUGUCCUCAAUCCAUUGGUAUAGCUAUUUUAUGCUUGUAGUUGAAUUUAACAUGUGGUAAACAUACAUAGUGAUUAUGUGUUUUUGAAUAUAUGGUUUAGCAUGCUGUAGUCAUCUACUGAUUAUGUAUAAAUAUUUGGUUUAGCAUGAUCUGGUGAUGAAAAAUAUAGUCAAGAUAAAUGCUUCAUGCUAUAAGAGGAAAUAUGCGAAUCAAGAGCCCUAGUAUGCUGAAUUGAAAUGGAAUCAAUGUAAAGCAAAGCAAGCAGUGAAACAAUCCCUGAAGCAAUGUUGAUGUUUUCCAGGGCAAAUGGUGCAAAAGAAGAUUUACAUGUUAUACAAUGGAAACUUCAGACAAUAGGCUAUUUUUAAUCUUUGCAGAAUAUGUUUUUUGCGUUGAAUUGUAUAUUCUAAUCCAUAUUUUUUCUGAGAGAGAGUUCAUGUGUGUAAGGGGAAUGGUCUAUUGCAUUUACUGCUUUUCAUUGGAACUUCAAACAAUUGAACAAGGAAUAACUUACCGUACUUUUGAGAUGGCUCUAACAUUGCUGGUAUUUUACUUAAUGCAGUUUUCCUUCAUUAAAUGCUGCUAUUAUUCUGAUUGCUAAUGCUCUAUCUCUUGUUUUUCUUUGUGAAAUUUACUUUUAUACAUUUUUAAACCUCUAAUCUUUUUUGUUUGGAAUUUUUUCCAUAUCUUGUAAUACCUAAACAAUAUUAACUGCUAGAUUUUGUUAUUUGAUUUUGACAAUAUCAUGUAUGCUCUUCUUCUUUUUUUACCAUAUUAUACUUCACCUCUCUUUCAUAUUUUAAUGAAUGCUUUUGACCAUUUAUUUGGUGAAUUUCUCUAGAUAUUGUCCAUAGAAAAAAAAAAUGACAAAAGUGAUAUUUGUUGAGGUGAUUUUCUAAUAUAAGCAUCGACGCAAUUGGCAAUUGAGGCAUCAUUGAAAAAUUGAUUUAAAUUUCUUUUUUUUUUUUAUGUUGGAUGAACUAAAAAGAAUGAUUUUUUUUUUUUUUUUGGAAAAGACUUCGCCGCAUGCCAUAUGAAAUGUGGUGAAGCUUUUUUCUCUUUGUAAAACCCGCAUCUAGCUUUGAUGCGACAACCUGUUUUUAAAAAUUUUUAAAUAUAAAUUUUUAUUUUUUGUAUCCAUAGACCUUACACCUUAAACUAUAUUCCUAGCUGGAUGCAAAAACCUUUGACUGCACUAUUAUUUUGUAAAAUCUAGGGCUUAAUUUGUUUUUCAAUGUGUGUAUGUUUUUUUAGUGAUGACUGAGGAGGAAAGUAUCGAGGUUGAGCUUGAACACAAAUAUAAUUUAGCAAGUAUUAAAGUUACUGAGGUUGAGAUUGACCUUUUUACUUGUUCUCUAACAUGUGUUAUCAUAAUUGGGAGCACUUUUCUUUGCGUAAUAAUUUCCUGUAACUUUUGUUGCUUUUUCUUUUUUUACUAGUAUUGUUUUAUCUUGAAUCCAAACCAACAUGUUUUCUUUGUUUGCUCUUCAACAGUGUAGGAUAGAUUGGAGUGGCAUACUGACUAAAAUCGCCAAACAGAUUAGCUUUCAAAACAUUCUUCGAAAGGAUUAUUCAUUGCUACUUGGGAUGAAUUGCCUACUAUCUUGCUUUUUGUCCUCAUUCCAUUAACAUAGUUAUUUUAUGCUUGCAGUUGAAUUUCACAUGUGAGAAAUAUAGAUACUCAUUAUGUGUUUUUUGAAUAUACAGUUUAGCAUGCUAUAGUCAUCUUACUGAUUAUGUGUAAAUAUUUGGUUUAGAAUGAUUUAAUGAUGAGAAAUAUAAUCGAGAUAAAUGCUUCAUGCUAUAAGAGGAAAGAGGCGAUUCAAGAGCUCAAGUAUGCUGAAUUGAAGUGGAAUCAAUGUAAAGCAAUGAAACAAUCCCAGAAGCAGUGUUGAUGUUGUCCAGCGCAAAAGGUGCAAAAGGAGAUUUACAUGUGUUGAAUUUGUAUAUCCUAUUCCAUAUUUGUUCUAAGAGAGAGUGUGUAUGUGUAAGAGGGAAUGGUCUAUUGCCUUUACUGCUUUUUCUUGGAUUUCAAACAAUUGAACAGAGAGUACUCUUACUGUACUAUGGAGAUGGCUAUAAUCUUGUUGGUAUUUUACUUAAUGUAGUUUUCCUUCAUUA